AAGAAAUGUGAAAAUAUUCAAAGUCAAAGUCAGCUUUAUUGUCAGUUUUUUGCCAUAUGUGCAUCGCAUACAGAAAUCUGAAAUUACAAGACUCUAAGGCCCCACGGUGCAAAGUGAACAUAGUAG
Molecule: long non-coding RNA, 126 nt
Organism: Sphaeramia orbicularis (orbiculate cardinalfish)
Lineage: Eukaryota; Metazoa; Chordata; Actinopteri; Kurtiformes; Apogonidae
Exons: 3
Source: RefSeq, a predicted model, not a curated record